Molecule: long non-coding RNA, 248 nt
Filed under: Lathyrus oleraceus (garden pea)
Lineage: Eukaryota; Viridiplantae; Streptophyta; Magnoliopsida; Fabales; Fabaceae
Description: Pisum sativum (pea) long non-coding RNA (PSAT_LNC002745)
Source: RNAcentral
ACAAACUAGAAAAUAAGAAGAAAGUUAAAAAUCAAAGUAAAAGAUUUUUUUUAUAUUUAAUUAAUUAACUUUUAAUUUUUUGAUACAAAAGAGAAAAUCUCUAAGCAGUUAUUCAAACAAAUAUCUAAAUAUAUAAACAAAUCAAUUUUUUACUUUAUAACAAUAGCUAUCAUCUUAAUUAUAUUUGAUCUAAUUAAAAAAUAAAAUAAAACUUAAAAAAACAAGGCUUAAUGGAAAAAAGAAAAAUC